AAGUCGUAACAAGGUCUCCGUUGGUGAACCAGCGGAGGGAUCAUUAUAGAGUUUUCUAAACUCCCAACCCAUGUGAACUUACCAUUGUUGCCUCGGCAGAAGCUGCUCGGUGCACCCUACCUUGGAACGGCCUACCCUGUAGCGCCUUACCCUGGAACGGCUUACCCUGUAGCGGCUGCCGGUGGACUACCAAACUCUUGUUAUUUUAUUGUAAUCUGAGCGUCUUAUUUUAAUAAGUCAAAACUUUCAACAACGGAUCUCUUGGUUCUG
RNAcentral lists this unclassified non-coding RNA (270 nucleotides) under Pestalotiopsis sp. Its description in RNAcentral is "partial internal transcribed spacer region". The stretch from base 1 to 46 matches the Rfam family "Eukaryotic small subunit ribosomal RNA", at positions 1786 to 1831 of the family's 1831-position model. The record is from RNAcentral. Lineage: Eukaryota; Fungi; Ascomycota; Sordariomycetes; Amphisphaeriales; Sporocadaceae. RNAcentral also lists the same sequence under 1 other name.